RNAcentral lists this ribosomal RNA (253 nucleotides) under uncultured bacterium. RNAcentral describes it as "partial 16S ribosomal RNA". It matches the Rfam family "Bacterial small subunit ribosomal RNA", at positions 524 to 776 of the family's 1533-position model. The record is from RNAcentral.
UACGUACGAGGCGAGCGUUAUCCGGAAUUACUGGGCGUAAAGCGCGCGCAGGUGGUUUGUUAAGUGAGACGUGAAAUCUCCCGGCCUAACUGGGAGGGGUCGUUUCAAACUGGGAGACUUGAGGACUGCAGAGGUGGGUGGAAUUCCUGGUGUAGUGGUGAAAUGCGUAGAGAUCAGGAGGAACACCGGUGGCGAAGGCGGCCCACUGGGCAGUCACUGACGCUGAGGCGCGAAAGCUCGGGGAGCGAACGGG